RNAcentral lists this long non-coding RNA (319 nucleotides) under Vigna radiata. RNAcentral describes it as "long non-coding RNA (VRAD_LNC001117)". Lineage: Eukaryota; Viridiplantae; Streptophyta; Magnoliopsida; Fabales; Fabaceae. The record is from RNAcentral.
UGAGUUGACACCGUUUACCCUAGACACUUGAGAGAAACACUGAUAGUGCAUCUGUGAGGUUCUGUUGCUUUUGAUUCAUCUCUUGAAUUGAUUGAUCAUUUUGCCAUGUCUUGAAUUGCUUGGAUGAUUUCUCUGAGUAUCUGUUUUCUCUGAUUCAGUGUUGGAUAUUUUCUACUUCUUAUCUUUGUCCAGAUUUCUUGAGAAUUGUGUAAUUCUGUUUGUUUCUUUCAUUGUGAGUCUUUGUCGUCUGUCUGUUGAGUUUGUGUCAAUUCCCUGAUGUCCGUUGAACUGUUCCCUGAUUUUCGUCUUGGUUUUGCCC